GCCCAGACUCCUACGGGAGGCAGCAGUAGGGAAUCUUCGGCAAUGGGCGAAAGCCUGACCGAGCAACGCCGCGUGAGCGAUGAAGGCCUUCGGGUCGUAAAGCUCUGUUGUUAGGGAAGAACAAGUACCAGUUGAAUAAGCUGGUACCUUGACGGUACCUAACGAGAAAGCCACGGCUAACUACG
This 185-nucleotide ribosomal RNA is filed under the name uncultured bacterium. Its description in RNAcentral is "partial 16S ribosomal RNA". It matches the Rfam family "Bacterial small subunit ribosomal RNA", at positions 329 to 505 of the family's 1533-position model. The record is from RNAcentral.